UACGAAGGGGGCUAGCGUUGCUCGGAAUGACUGGGCGUAAAGGGCGCGUAGGCGGAGUGCUUUGUCAGACGUGAAAUUCCAGGGCUUAACCUUGGGGCUGCGUUUGAGACGGGCAUUCUAGAGUGGGGAAGAGGGUCGUGGAAUUCCCAGUGUAGAGGUGAAAUUCGUAGAUAUUGGGAAGAACACCAGUGGCGAAGGCGGCGACCUGGUCCUUUACUGACGCUGAGGCGCGAAAGCGUGGGGAGCAAACAGG
RNAcentral lists this ribosomal RNA (253 nucleotides) under uncultured bacterium. RNAcentral describes it as "partial 16S ribosomal RNA". It matches the Rfam family "Bacterial small subunit ribosomal RNA", at positions 524 to 776 of the family's 1533-position model. The record is from RNAcentral.